RNAcentral lists this ribosomal RNA (494 nucleotides) under uncultured bacterium. RNAcentral describes it as "partial 16S ribosomal RNA". It matches the Rfam family "Bacterial small subunit ribosomal RNA", at positions 28 to 507 of the family's 1533-position model. The record is from RNAcentral.
GACGAACGCUGGCGGCGUGCUUAACACAUGCAAGUCGAACGGAAAGGCCUGCUUUCCCUUGUGGAUUGCGGGUACUCGAGUGGCGAACGGGUGAGUAACACGUGAGUGAUCUGCCCCCAACUUGGGUAUAAGCCUGGGAAACUGGGUCUAAUUCCCGAUAGGACUGCAGGGUGGUGCCUGUGGUGGAAAACGAUUUUCUAGUGGUUGGGGAUGAGCUCGCGGCCUAUCAGCUUGUUGGUGGGGUAAUGGCCUACCAAGGCGGCGACGGGUAGCCGGCCUGAGAGGGUGGACGGCCACAUUGGGACUGAGAGACGGCCCAGACUCCUAAGGGAGGCAGCAGUGGGGAAUAUUGCACAAUGGGCGGAAGCCUGAUGCAGCGACGCCGCGUGGGGGAUGACGGCCUUCGGGUUGUAAACUCCUUUCGACCGCGAGGAAGCCACCUGGUUGGAAGGGUGGUGACGGUAGUGGUAGAAGAAGCACCGGCUAACUACGUG